UACGGAGGGGGCUAGCGUUGUUCGGAAUUACUGGGCGUAAAGCGCACGUAGGCGGCUUUGUAAGUUAGAGGUGAAAGCCCGGGGCUCAACUCCGGAAUUGCCUUUAAGACUGCAUCGCUAGAAUUGUGGAGAGGUAAGUGGAAUUCCGAGUGUAGAGGUGAAAUUCGUAGAUAUUCGGAAGAACACCAGUGGCGAAGGCGACUUACUGGACACAUAUUGACGCUGAGGAGCGAAAGUGUGGGGAGCGAACAGG
This 253-nucleotide ribosomal RNA is filed under the name uncultured bacterium. Its description in RNAcentral is "partial 16S ribosomal RNA". It matches the Rfam family "Bacterial small subunit ribosomal RNA", at positions 524 to 776 of the family's 1533-position model. The record is from RNAcentral.